Molecule: unclassified non-coding RNA, 452 nt
Filed under: Hevea brasiliensis (rubber tree)
Lineage: Eukaryota; Viridiplantae; Streptophyta; Magnoliopsida; Malpighiales; Euphorbiaceae
Source: RNAcentral
CAAGACUUAGCUCAUCAUGCUGGAUAUUAUCAUCUUCUGCAUACUAAAGCUGCAAGGAUGUUUUAUUUUUUCUUUGAAUCAAGGAGUAACAAGAAUGAUCCAGUAGUGAUGUGGCUAACAGGAGGGCCAGGUUGUAGCAGUGAAUUGGCUUUGUUUUAUGAAAAUGGACCUUUUCAAAUAUCACAUAAUAUGUCUCUUGUCUGGAAUGAAUUUGGCUGGGACAAGGUCUCAAAUCUUAUAUAUAUUGAUCAACCAACGGGGACUGGUUUCAGUUAUACUUCUGAUAAUCGCGAUAUUCGUCACAAUGAAACAGAUAUAAGCAAUGACCUUUAUGACUUCAUACAGGCCUUCUUUAAUGCGCAUCCAGAGUAUGUAAAUAGUGAUUUCUACAUUACUGGAGAAUCGUAUGCAGGGCACUAUAUCCCUGCAUUUGCUUCUCGUGUUCACCAAGG